ACUUCCAAAGGACAGAAGU
This 19-nucleotide transfer RNA is filed under the name Pelusios bechuanicus. Its description in RNAcentral is "partial transfer RNA-Leu". The record is from RNAcentral. Lineage: Eukaryota; Metazoa; Chordata; Testudines; Pelomedusidae.